Molecule: transfer RNA, 74 nt
Filed under: Sykidion marinum
Lineage: Eukaryota; Viridiplantae; Chlorophyta; Ulvophyceae; Sykidiales; Sykidiacaeae
Description: Pseudoneochloris marina tRNA-Asp
Rfam family: tRNA
About the family: Transfer RNA (tRNA) molecules are approximately 80 nucleotides in length. Their secondary structure includes four short double-helical elements and three loops (D, anti-codon, and T loops). Further hydrogen bonds mediate the characteristic L-shaped molecular structure. tRNAs have two regions of fundamental functional importance: the anti-codon, which is responsible for specific mRNA codon recognition, and the 3' end, to which the tRNAs corresponding amino acid is attached (by aminoacyl-tRNA synthetases). tRNAs cope with the degeneracy of the genetic code in two manners: having more than one tRNA (with a specific anti-codon) for a particular amino acid; and 'wobble' base-pairing, i.e. permitting non-standard base-pairing at the 3rd anti-codon position.
Source: RNAcentral
GGGAUUGUAGUUCAAUUGGUUAGAGCACUACCCUGUCACGGUAGAAGUUGCGGGUUCGAGUCCCGUCAGUCCCG